This is a long non-coding RNA of Panicum virgatum (switchgrass), 1200 nucleotides long. RefSeq lists it as uncharacterized. The transcript has 2 exons. The record is from RefSeq and is a predicted model, not a curated record. NCBI's taxonomy places the organism in Eukaryota, Viridiplantae, Streptophyta, Magnoliopsida, Poales, Poaceae.
UCUGAAUCCCCUCUACAAAAUCUGCCUCCUACUAGAUCAUCACUCGUCCUCCCAAAUUCAAGCCAAGUUGCACUCGUCCCACUCUCGCCUAGGCCCCUACGCACAUGUGAGAGAAGUGUCUUGUGACGUUCAUGCUAGAAAUAGGGAAAAACCAAACACAUCGAGGAUUGGCGAGAAAAGGAAGGAUUGCAAUGAGGAAGAGGUGCAGCUUCUGGUGCCAAAAAUUGGGAGAGUUCAGGGUAUCAUAUACCCUACCGCCGGUAGAGUUUGGAAGCUGUCAAAAUGCAUCAACACAGAUCUGCAACGACUAGUUCUAGAGGGCAUUCUCCAAGAGCAGGAUGUAGUCGAAUGGCAUAUGUACCUGGUAAAGAUGCCUUUCCCUUUGAAAAUACCAAUGAAGCUAUACUUUUUGUGCAUUUUAUUGAAUGGGGAUCCCCCUCUAACUUUUUUCGUGUCCUCCAUUUAUGUAAGCUCAAACUUAAUCAUCUGAAUCCAAAUUCUAAUGUCCAUAUUUCCAUCUUUGUCUACUUCUGUGAAGCCUUUCUGGGUAUCUAAUUUCACUUCAGUCUUUGUUAUCUUUUUUAUCUCAAACCCCAACCCGAAGCCGACAACCCCAAUGUAGUCAGAGGAGCUAGAUUUCUAGUGCUACUGAAAAGAUCCUCGAGUCCCCGAGGCAAGGGGUGAAGAAACGAGUGGCCGGGGAUGAUACUAUACUGGGUAGCGUGUCCCCAGUGUCAGUGGACCCGAUGCGAACAACAGCUAGCAUACCUGUAUCUUUCAGUACUUUGGGCAGUGCUCCAGCACUCAAGGCCUUGAAGGUGCCGAAGAAACUUAUUAUGAAGAUCCACUCAGUAAACUACCUUGCAGAAGAUCUCCGAGUAGUAUUAUGUUCUCCUCCUCUCUAUUCUAGGCCUGAAAGAGUCUGGCGCCUAAGCCGGUACUUGGAGUCAAGACCCUUCAUCGCAGCCUCAGGUUGCUUGGACUACUUCAACCCCUGAACAGGAGAAAACAACAGAUGAUGCAUCGUUGCCAGCGGGAAGCAUGGCUGUACCCGCCGAUUCCACACCACUAGCACCUAUGGAGCCCCCUGCGCUCACCCAGAGGUUAAAGUCAUUGAUGUCAAAGCGGGCAUAGCAAUCGUGUGAGAUGAGGAUGUUUCUUGCUUCAAUUUAAAGUUUCUUCUGGGUGUGAUUGCAUCUU